RNAcentral lists this ribosomal RNA (390 nucleotides) under Triticum aestivum (bread wheat). RNAcentral's name for it is "partial small subunit ribosomal RNA". The record is from RNAcentral. Lineage: Eukaryota; Viridiplantae; Streptophyta; Magnoliopsida; Poales; Poaceae.
AUGCUCUCCUUUUGUUACAGUGCAGGCUCGUGCACCUGUUUUCCUUUUCCCCUUCGAUGGGGUCGUUCAGUUGAGGUGAAGCAAGCAAGCACCUCCCCGUGCCUUGCAUACCAAGGAGAGAGCGAGCCAUUGCAGAGGAGAGGGGAUACGAGGGUGGGCAGAGGUCAGGCAUUGCUAACAGAUUUGCGGCGGAGUGGGAAGCCGGCGCCUCAUCACUGGCUCCUGUUUGGCAUCGGCAAAGAGAAAGCUGCCGAGGAUGUGUUGCUCUAUGCACUGCUGUCGAAGUACAUCCUUGCUAUGAUGUAUUUUUCAGUGGCUUUCUCCAUUAGAAUGUUUCUCGUCAACGACCAUAUCAACCUGUCUGGUGUUCGCACAUGUCAUUUUGGUUGA